UGAUCAUCUGAACUGGCAGAUAAUUUUGACUGCUUCCUCCCCAUUUAUAAUGGAACCUUGGGCUGAGUUCUCAGGGGAUUUCUACUUUUCCUGUCUACUUCCCUGUGUUCUGCUUCCUGAGUUUCUGGAGCAGUCCUCUGGCAAUAUUUGUAAAUGUAUACCCAUCUUAAGAGAUAAGCAACACUUGCAUGCAUGUAUAGAGAAAGCCAC
Molecule: long non-coding RNA, 210 nt
Filed under: Urocitellus parryii (Arctic ground squirrel)
Lineage: Eukaryota; Metazoa; Chordata; Mammalia; Rodentia; Sciuridae
Description: lncRNA (ENSUPAG00010016849.1)
Source: RNAcentral